CAAAAAUACACUAAUUGUAACUAACGAACGUCGGAACUGCAUGCACUGCAAGCCAGCGCUACACUACGUGCGUGCAACAAGAAGUCCACCAGUGACAUCAAAGCCUAAUUCAGAUGACAAGAAGAAUGUGGGAAUAAUAGCUGGAGCCGGUAC
Corticium candelabrum is the source of this 153-nucleotide long non-coding RNA. RefSeq lists it as uncharacterized. The transcript has 3 exons. NCBI's taxonomy places the organism in Eukaryota, Metazoa, Porifera, Homoscleromorpha, Homosclerophorida, Plakinidae. The record is from RefSeq and is a predicted model, not a curated record.